AUCGUUUAAAAGUAUAUUCUAUUGGGUGGAGUUCUACAGUAAUAGUAGAUAAAACCCAACUUUGGAAAAUGGUGAAAAAAGAAUUGUUGUCUCAAAAAUUAGAAAGGACACUUGAAAAUGCAAGAUCGAGUAAUAUCUGUCAUAUUAAUAACUUUCAUGCAAAACAAGAUAUCUCCAUUUUUGAGGGAAGCUAUAAAUCGUCCUGAAGCGAAUUCAUUAUUUGAUCUUCCUAUUAAAAAUAAU
Molecule: non-coding RNA, 243 nt
Organism: Cajanus cajan (pigeon pea)
Lineage: Eukaryota; Viridiplantae; Streptophyta; Magnoliopsida; Fabales; Fabaceae
Source: RefSeq, a predicted model, not a curated record